RNAcentral lists this ribosomal RNA (398 nucleotides) under uncultured bacterium. RNAcentral describes it as "bacterial SSU rRNA". It matches the Rfam family "Bacterial small subunit ribosomal RNA", at positions 361 to 776 of the family's 1533-position model. The record is from RNAcentral.
AUAUUGGACAAUGGGCGCAAGCCUGAUCCAGCCAUGCCGCGUGAGUGACGAAGGUCUUCGGAUUGUAAAGCUCUUUUGGCGGGGACGAUAAUGACGGUACCCGCAGAAUAAGCCCCGGCUAACUUCGUGCCAGCAGCCGCGGUAAUACGAAGGGGGCUAGCGUUGUUCGGAAUCACUGGGCGUAAAGCGCACGUAGGCGGAUGUGUCAGUCAGGGGUGAAAUCCCGGAGCUCAACUUCGGAACUGCCUCUGAUACAGCACGUCUUGAGUCCGGAAGAGGUGGGUGGAAUUCCUAGUGUAGAGGUGAAAUUCGUAGAUAUUAGGAAGAACACCGGUGGCGAAGGCGGCCCACUGGUCCGGUACUGACGCUGAGGUGCGAAAGCGUGGGGAGCAAACAGG